RNAcentral lists this ribosomal RNA (551 nucleotides) under Fusarium oxysporum f. sp. ciceris. RNAcentral's name for it is "eukaryotic LSU rRNA". The stretch from base 178 to 331 matches the Rfam family "5.8S ribosomal RNA". Lineage: Eukaryota; Fungi; Ascomycota; Sordariomycetes; Hypocreales; Nectriaceae. The record is from RNAcentral.
CCGUAGGUGAACCUGCGGAGGGAUCAUUACCGAGUUUACAACUCCCAAACCCCUGUGAACAUACCACUUGUUGCCUCGGCGGAUCAGCCCGCUCCCGGUAAAACGGGACGGCCCGCCAGAGGACCCCUAAACUCUGUUUCUAUAUGUAACUUCUGAGUAAAACCAUAAAUAAAUCAAAACUUUCAACAACGGAUCUCUUGGUUCUGGCAUCGAUGAAGAACGCAGCAAAAUGCGAUAAGUAAUGUGAAUUGCAGAAUUCAGUGAAUCAUCGAAUCUUUGAACGCACAUUGCGCCCGCCAGUAUUCUGGCGGGCAUGCCUGUUCGAGCGUCAUUUCAACCCUCAAGCCCUCGGGUUUGGUGUUGGGGAUCGGCGAGCCCUUUGCGGCAAGCCGGCCCCGAAAUACAGUGGCGGUCUCGCUGCAGCUUCCAUUGCGUAGUAGUAAAACCCUCGCAACUGGUACGCGGCGCGGCCAAGCCGUUAAACCCCCAACUUCUGAAUGUGGACCUCGGAUCAGGUAGGAAUACCCGCUGAACUUAAGCAUAUCAAUAAG